Numida meleagris (helmeted guineafowl) is the source of this 1403-nucleotide long non-coding RNA. RefSeq lists it as uncharacterized. Lineage: Eukaryota; Metazoa; Chordata; Aves; Galliformes; Numididae. The record is from RefSeq and is a predicted model, not a curated record. The transcript is spliced from 2 exons.
AGCCAGCAACCGGUCCCAUCUCAGCGCGCUGUUUACAACAGCUUCCCAAGAAGCCAAGCUCUAAAAGCACCAGCUACCUGCGUGCCCCGAGCUCAGCCUGAAGGUACGCCACGGCACGGCACCGAGCUUUCGGUUUCAAUAUACAUUGUUUCAAAGAGCUGUUUGAGCCGCUGAGGCCAUCCAGUCUGUCAAUUCCACUUCAGAGGAAGGCUUUCCAAGUGGGCAGGUACAUUAAAGGCUAAAAACAAAGAACACCGGCGUCCAUUACUUCAACAAAGACUCCACUGUGAAAACCUGUUACUGUUAAAUUCUUUGUGUUUGUCGUUUUGGGGAACGAAACCUGGUUCGACAAAUAAAGCAAUCGAUGACAGAAGAGAUGGGCAGCAGCAGGUGAGCGGUUUGCGUGGCUGAUAGCUGUAUCCAAACUGUCCCUGGGAGAGACUCAGCAGCCCUCGCUGCGAGGCCCGGGUGUGGGAACCACAAUCACAGCAUGGAUUGGGUUGGAAAGGACUUGAAACCUACUCAGUUCCAACCCCCUGCCACAGGCAGGGCUGCCCCUCACCAGCUCAGGCUGCCCAGGGCCCCAUCCAGCUUGGCGCUGACUACCUCCAGGGAUGGGGCCCCUGCAGCUUCUCUGGGCAGCUGCACCAGUGCCUCUCUGCCCUCUCUGUGACAGGCAGAGGCAACUCAAAACAUCAAGAUGUGAGAUGGUGAAGAAGUGGCCAAAGUUUUGUUGAAGUGAUUGAGCUUUUAGAGUCGUUUUAGAGCCGUUUUAGAGCCAUUACAUGGCAAGAGGCUGCACCGUUUCAGAUCCAGCCGGAAUAUACAUGCUUAAAGACAGACAAAAUCAAGAGCGAUAUCCAGAUGGCAAACUUAAAAGAUAGAGCACCCAGCACUUUAUGUAAUGAUGGAAAAAAAGGUUUCAGGAAGUGCUUGGGGGGAAUAUCCAGAACUUCGUUUUGCAUUGGCAGCCUGGGAAAGAAAGAUGUAAGCACGGAGGGUUAGAAGACAUCUAUGCAGUAAGUGACAUAUUGAAGCUAAAAGAACACCGUGAGAACACGAUUGCUUAAUUAGAAAGGAGCCUGAUCACAGACUUAUCACAGCAACAAGUUACAAAAUCUUUGGGACAUGAGUCAGCGUGGUGGAAUUCUGCAGGAACACUAAGUUUUACCAUGAAUGUGGUAUUGUGUAUUGACCUUGCACAAAUGCACUGAGCAUCACUGUACAGACGCUGUGACCUAUGGGAACCUGUGAGUUGCAGUUUCCACCAAGAAGCCCACCCUGAGUGCACAAUCGGAGGAGAUGGGCUUCUCACAGUUGUGAAACAAGAAGUUGGGAGAAAAAAAACAUUAAAGUUUGCUUUUCCUUGGGAUGAGAAUGGAAGACCUAAUCCAGAAUGAAAU